UACAGAGGUCCCGAGCGUUGUUCGGAUUCAUUGGGCGUAAAGGGUGCGUAGGCGGCGGGGCAAGUCUGAUGUGAAAUCCCGGGGCUCAACCCCGGAACUGCAUUGGAUACUGCCUUGCUUGAGUACUGGAGAGGAGACUGGAAUUUACGGUGUAGCAGUGAAAUGCGUAGAUAUCGUAAGGAAGGCCAGUGGCGAAGGCGAGUCUCUGGACAGUUACUGACGCUGAGGCACGAAGGCCAGGGGAGCAAACGGG
Molecule: ribosomal RNA, 253 nt
Filed under: uncultured bacterium
Lineage: Bacteria
Also listed under: 1 other name
Description: partial 16S ribosomal RNA
Rfam family: Bacterial small subunit ribosomal RNA
Source: RNAcentral